AGAGUAGGGCCCGUACAGUGCUGAUAGAUGGCCAGGCGAGGGGCCUAGAGCUGGGGGAGACUGGUGCGAUGCAGGUCCGGUGCCCCCUGGAGGUCAUCAAAGAGAUAGAACACAGGAAGAAUAAGUCAUGAAGUACAAUGACAGUCUUGACUGCUGCAGCAUGGAUCCUAUCCUCCGCUUGUCUGAAAUGGAAAAGACGUUGCUGCACUUGAGCUGUCUCCCGGACAUUUGUUACAUCAACACUCAGUUGUGUUUCUGUUGGGCUAAAAGAAAGAAAAAAGAGCCCCUCUCUGAUUCCCGAACGUGGUGCUCUGCCAAAAAAAGGCCGGGGAAACUGAUCCACCUUUGGGUCCUGGAUUAUAUUCUUUGUCUGAAUUCCAAGAUUCCACAAGCGGCCAGAAGAGAUUUGAGGUUUCUCCUGAACCCACGGUCGACGGCGGCAACAGCUAGCAGCAAACAGCAAUCAAUGUGUAUUAGCCCUGAUGUCUGCAGCUACCAACUUUACCUGAACUUUAUCCGAUGCAUUCUCCGUUGAGAGUUAUCCAACACGUGUGUAAGUGUGUCAAUAGACCUUCCAUUCGGCCAGGAGUUUUCCCCCGCUCAGGCCAGGGAAAACUCCAGGCCCUACUAAAGAACUGCCAGAUGACCUCUUGAGAGUGGAAGGAAAUGUCUGUUCACCAUGAACAGGAACUGGCCAUUGUCACUCUAGUGUUGGCAAACAACACCAUCCGCCUACAUCAACUACGAGAGCAAACCAUCGCAGACCACACAACAUUCCAUAUUAUCAACCGUGUCAGUAUGUCGACACUCUGCCACAUCUUGCGUCAACACCAACUUACGAUGAAGCAGCUGUCCAGGGUUCUAUUUGAGAGGAACAGUGUUAGAGUCAAAGACCUUCGCUGUGACUGUGUGCAAAGAGUCCUGGACUUUGAUGCAGUUGCACAGCCUCAUGAGUUCUUUUUCAUUGAUGAAGCUGGAUUCAAUCUAGCUAAAACCAGGCGUCGGGGUCAAAAUGUUAAAGGACAAAGAGCCGUUGUGAAUGUCCCUGGGCAGCGCAGGGGGGAAUAUCACCUUGUGUGCCGCCAUUAGUCUGCAAGAAGUUCUCCAUCACCAUGCCACCCUCGGUCCCUACAAUACUGCACACAUAAUCCUAUUUCUGGAUGCUCUACAUAAUGCAGUUGUGCAGGACGGACCAGAGCAGCCCAGGUUAGUUGUCAUCUGGGAUAAUGUUAGUUUCCACCGGGCUGCUCUGGUCAGGGACUGGUUCACCAACCACAAUAACUUCACAGUUGUAUAUUUGCCCCCUUACUCCCCAUUUCUCACUCCGAUUGAGGAGUUAUUUUCGGCUUGGCGUUGGAAAGUGUAUGACCGCCAACCACAUGACCGCCUGCCUCUUCUGCAAGCAAUGGAAGAGGCAUGCGGAGACAUUGAGGUGGGGUCAGUCCAGGGUCGGAUACGGCAAGGCGUUAUUUUCCCCGUUGCCUAGCCAGGGAUGACAUUGCUUGUGAUGUGGCCAGACCCUAACAGAAGGCGGGACCAUCCACCCCAUCCCUUCCAAUAUGAUUGUUUGUUUGCACUGUAACGUUACUGUAAUUCUUUUUGCUUCCGUGAGUUUACAGUAGCAUAUUGUGUUGAUCACUGUACUAUAAUUCUACUUUUCUUUGUGUUUUUUUGUUGUUGUAAAAACCUGCAAUGGCAAAAAAUAACCUGUAUAUUUUUUUUUCUGAA
Long non-coding RNA from Oncorhynchus kisutch (coho salmon), 1728 nucleotides. RefSeq lists it as uncharacterized. NCBI's taxonomy places the organism in Eukaryota, Metazoa, Chordata, Actinopteri, Salmoniformes, Salmonidae. The record is from RefSeq and is a predicted model, not a curated record. The transcript has 3 exons.